UUUUAUGGAGAGUUUGAUCCUGGCUCAGAGUGAACGCUGGCGGCGUGCCUAAUACAUGCAAGUCGAACGAUGAAGCUUCUAGCUUGCUAGAGUGCUGAUUAGUGGCGCACGGGUGAGUAAUGCAUAGGUCAUGUGCCUCUUAGUUUGGGAUAGCCAUUGGAAACGAUGAUUAAUACCAGAUACUCCCUACGGGGGAAAGAUUUAUCGCUAAGAGAUCAGCCUAUGUCCUAUCAGCUUGUUGGU
Molecule: ribosomal RNA, 243 nt
Filed under: Helicobacter pylori
Lineage: Bacteria; Pseudomonadati; Campylobacterota; Epsilonproteobacteria; Campylobacterales; Helicobacteraceae
Description: partial 16S ribosomal RNA
Rfam family: Bacterial small subunit ribosomal RNA
Source: RNAcentral